This is a long non-coding RNA of Danio aesculapii, 420 nucleotides long. RefSeq lists it as uncharacterized. The transcript is spliced from 3 exons. The record is from RefSeq and is a predicted model, not a curated record. Lineage: Eukaryota; Metazoa; Chordata; Actinopteri; Cypriniformes; Danionidae.
CCUCCCAUUAUAUUGACAGACACUACACACCUGGCAUUAAGAAAAAAACAGACGGUGUCCAGACUGACAACAAAAAUCACGAUACAGUUGAAAAGAGGAUAAAACGAGAAGCCAUCAGAAGUGUUUCCAGCGUACUUACAGAUUACUGACUACAAAAACACUUCCAGAUGUUACAGAAGGAAGCUUUCCUGUCAUAAUCAUUUUCUCUGCGUCACUGGAAAAUCUGCAUUCUCGAUGUUUGGUUUAUUGAUAAACUACAGUCAACAGAUGACAGACACAAUGACAGCAGAAAUGUGUGCACAAAUACUUUAAUUUUUAAGUGUGUGAGAGAAACUUUGUCAAUGUCUGGUUAAUGUUUUAGUCAAUUGUAAAUAAAUAAAUGCUGUAAAGUGAUAUCCCACAAUAAUUUAUUGUCUUUGU